RNAcentral lists this ribosomal RNA (454 nucleotides) under Sceloporus undulatus erythrocheilus. RNAcentral's name for it is "partial 16S ribosomal RNA". It matches the Rfam family "Bacterial large subunit ribosomal RNA", at positions 1923 to 2574 of the family's 2925-position model. Lineage: Eukaryota; Metazoa; Chordata; Lepidosauria; Squamata; Phrynosomatidae. The record is from RNAcentral.
UUUAACGGCCGCGGUAUCCUAACCGUGCAAAGGUAGCGUAAUCACUUGUCCCUUAAAUAGGGACCAGUAUGAACGGCUAAAUGAGGAUAAACCUGUCUCCUUUAACCAAUCAGUGAAACUGAUCUACCAGUACAAAAGCUGGUAUAAACCCAUAAGACGAGAAGACCCUGUGGAGCUUUAAAUUUUAACCAAGCAACUAACGCAAUCCCAGCCAAUGGCUAAAAAUUUUAAGUUGGGGCGACUUCGGAAAUAAACCAAACUUCCGAGCAUAAGAUCAACGUCUUACCAAGACCUACAAGUCAAAGCUAAAAUUGACCCAGUACCACUGACAACCGAACCAAGUUACCCCAGGGAUAACAGCGCAAUCUUCUUUAAGAGUCCAUAUCGACAAGAAGGUUUACGACCUCGAUGUUGGAUCAGGACACCCAAAUGGUGCAGCCGCURUUAAAGGUUC